AAAGAAAGCGGGCGGCAUGCCUAACACAUGCAAGUCGAACGAACCCUUCGGGGUUAGUGGCGCACGGGUGCGUAACGCGUGGGAAUCUGCCCUUUGCUUCGGAAUAACUCAGGGAAACUUGUGCUAAUACCGGAUGAUGUCUUCGGACCAAAGAUUUAUCGGCAAGGGAUGAGCCCGCGUAGGAUUAGGUAGUUGGUGGGGUAAAGGCCUACCAAGCCGACGAUCCUUAGCUGGUCUGAGAGGAUGAUCAGCCACACUGGGACUGAGACACGGCCCAGACUCCUACGGGAGGCAGCAGUGGGGAAUAUUGGACAAUGGGCGCAAGCCUGAUCCAGCAAUGCCGCGUGAGUGAUGAAGGCCCUCGGGUCGUAAAGCUCUUUUACCAGGGAUGAUAAUGACAGUACCUGGAGAAUAAGCUCCGGCUAACUCCGUG
Molecule: ribosomal RNA, 433 nt
Filed under: uncultured bacterium
Lineage: Bacteria
Description: partial 16S ribosomal RNA
Rfam family: Bacterial small subunit ribosomal RNA
Source: RNAcentral